RNAcentral lists this ribosomal RNA (372 nucleotides) under uncultured organism. RNAcentral's name for it is "partial 16S ribosomal RNA". It matches the Rfam family "Bacterial small subunit ribosomal RNA", at positions 527 to 896 of the family's 1533-position model. The record is from RNAcentral.
GUAGGUGGCAAGCGUUGUCCGGAAUUAUUGGGCGUAAAGCGCGCGCAGGGCGGUCCUUUAAGUCUGAUGUGAAAGCCCACGGCUCAACCGUGGAGGGUCAUUGGAAACUGGGGGACUUGAGAACAGAAGAGGAAAGCGGAAUUCCAAGUGUAGCGGUGAAAUGCGUAGAGAUUUGGAGGAACACCAGUGGCGAAGGCGGCUUUCUGGUCUGUAACUGACGCUGAGGCGCGAAAGCGUGGGGAGCAAACAGGAUUAGAUACCCUGGUAGUCCACGCCGUAAACGAUGAGUGCUAAGUGUUAGGGGGUUUCCGCCCCUUAGUGCUGCAGCUAACGCAUUAAGCACUCCGCCUGGGGAGUACGGCCGCAAGGCUG